Molecule: ribosomal RNA, 1531 nt
Filed under: Paroedura picta
Lineage: Eukaryota; Metazoa; Chordata; Lepidosauria; Squamata; Gekkonidae
Description: 16S ribosomal RNA
Rfam family: Bacterial large subunit ribosomal RNA
Source: RNAcentral
GCUAAAAACCGACGCCUAAUAUGCCUCUACCAACCAAAAACUAAAACAUUUACCAAUACAAAGUACCGUGAGACAGAAACGUGCCACUAAGCGCAAUAGUUAAGAGUACCGCAAGGGAAAAGUGAAAUAUUAAAUUCAUUUAAGCCCCAAAAAGCAGAGAUUACCACUCGUACCUAUUGUAUCAUGGUUUAGCUAGUAAACCCAGGUCUUACGCCAUAUAAUCUGCCCACCUGAAACUGAACGAGCUACCCAAAAGCUGCCCACACCGGGCAACCCCGUCCCUGUGGCAAAAGGGUGAGGAGACUUCUGGGUAGAAGUGAAACGCCAACCGAGUUCAGUGAUAGCCGGUUGCCCAAAAAGAAUUUAAGUUCAACUUUUAUUUUACUACCACAACCCCAUAUAACAAUGUACCGAUAAAAGACAUGCACUAGAGGUACAGCCCUAAUGCAAAGAAUACAGCCUUAAAUAGAGAUUUACUAAUUACCGUUUUCACCCAGUAGGCCUUUAAACAGCCAACAAUAACAACCACGUUAAAGAGUUUAUUAAAUAAAAUGUCAACCUACAACCAACACAUCCUAACACAACAUGGGCUAACUCUGACCAAAACAGAGGAGACACUGCUAAAACUAGUAAUAAGAAACUAAUUCUCCAUGCGCACGCCUACAUCAGAACAGAUAUACUACUGAAAAUUACCCACUCAAAAACCCCCCCCCACACAAACUGUUACUCCAACACAGGGUCGCCCUGCAAGAAAAACAAAAAGCUGUAAAAGGAAUUCAGCUAAUCGGACCCCACCUGUUUACCAAAAACAUCGCCUUAAGCCUAACAAGUAUUUAAGGUCUAGCCUGCCCAGUGAGCCCAUAUUUAACGGCCGCGGUAUCCUAACCGUGCGAAGGUAGCGUAAUCACUUGUCCCCUAACUAGGGACCCGUAUGAACGGCCUAAUGAGGGUCCAACUGUCUCCUACAGCCAGUUAAUGAACCUGAUCUUUCAGUCAAAAAGCUGAAAUAUAAACAUAAGACGAAAAGACCCCGUGGAGCUUUAAGCAACCCACUAUAAAUAACUUUAGCCACUACGACUACCAAAAUAUUUUUUAGUCGACUAGCUUUAAGUUGGGGCAACUAUGGAGAAAAAUGAAACCUCCAUGAACCGGGCUAAAACCCCACCACAGGCUGACAAGCCAAACAAAACUCAGACCCAGUCACACUGACCAUCGAACCAAGUUACCCCGGGGAUAACAGCGCUAUUCCCCUAAAGAGUCCUUAUCACAAGGGGAGCUUACGACCUCGAUGUUGGAUCAGGACAACCAGGCGGUGAAGCCGCUGCCAUCGGUUCGUUUGUUCAACGAUUAAUGUCCUACGUGAUCUGAGUUCAGACCGGAGUAAUCCAGGUCAGUUUCUAUCUAUGCACCAGCCCCUUCAGUACGAAAGGACCAAGGAGCUAGGCUUGUGCCAAUGCCACCAGGCACGCACACAUAGUAAAACUGAAGCACCAACUAAAGGGCCCAGUAGGACAAACCCCAAUAUGAGGGU